UCUUUAUCUCACGAGCUCUCUCACCGGUCAGAGAGGCCGAGAGAGUGUGUGAAAUGAAGAGA
RNAcentral lists this microRNA precursor (62 nucleotides) under Pristionchus pacificus. RNAcentral's name for it is "mir-8364 microRNA precursor family". It matches the Rfam family "mir-8364 microRNA precursor family". Lineage: Eukaryota; Metazoa; Nematoda; Chromadorea; Rhabditida; Neodiplogasteridae. The record is from Rfam by way of RNAcentral.